RNAcentral lists this unclassified non-coding RNA (332 nucleotides) under soil metagenome. Its description in RNAcentral is "partial contains 5.8S ribosomal RNA, internal transcribed spacer 2, and large subunit ribosomal RNA". The stretch from base 1 to 120 matches the Rfam family "5.8S ribosomal RNA", at positions 35 to 154 of the family's 154-position model. The record is from RNAcentral.
GAUGAAGAACGUAGCAAAAUGCGAUAAGUAAUGUGAAUUGCAGAAUUCAGUGAAUCAUCGAAUCUUUGAACGCACAUUGCGCCCGCCAGUAUUCUGGCGGGCAUGCCUGUUCGAGCGUCAUUUCAACCCUCAAGCACAGCUUGGUGUUGGGACUCGCGUUAAUUCGCGUUCCCCUAAUUGAUUGGCGGUCACGUCGAGCUUCCAUAGCGUAGUAGUAAAACCCUCGUUACUGGUAAUCGUCGCGGCCACGCCGUUAAACCCCAACUUCUGAAUGUUGACCUCGGAUCAGGUAGGAAUACCCGCUGAACUUAAGCAUAUCAAUAAGCGGAGGA